RNAcentral lists this long non-coding RNA (1450 nucleotides) under Malus domestica (apple). RNAcentral's name for it is "long non-coding RNA (MDOM_LNC012170)". Lineage: Eukaryota; Viridiplantae; Streptophyta; Magnoliopsida; Rosales; Rosaceae. The record is from RNAcentral.
AAAACUCCCUUUAAUCGGACAUAUGAUAUUAUGAGUAAAAGUAGGGGUGGAAAAAAAAAACUGAAAAUUCCAAAUAAAAAAUCCUGAAAAUUUUGGUACCCUUUACCGAAUCGAUCCCGAAAAUUCGAUAUGGGAAUCGGUCUCAGAUUUGUAUUUGUUCGGUAAUCCCAAACCGAACCGAAAAAAAUAUUAUUUAAUUUUAAAUAUAUAUUUGGAAUUGUAAUAGCCGUCUGAUUUGGUUGAGAUUUAAUCUCAACAGUUGAAUCCAAAUAAACCCUAACUAAGACUCAGAGACUUAAUCACUCUCUCUCUUAGUCUCUCUCGAUCUCACACAUUACCUCAGUGACCUCACCAGCUCACCCUUCUCUUUGCCGAUAAGGACUUCAAAGUAUGUAAUUUUCUAAUUGAUUAUUUGAGUAUUAUUGGAAAUUUUGGAUUAUUUGAGUAUUAUUGGAAAAUUUGGAUUCUCGUUUGUCAGUGUCUAGACAAGAACCUAGGGAAUUUGCGGUAGAGAAUGGUUUAUGUGGGAUGUAGAUUAAAUAGGAACCAAGAUGAAUUGCAGAAUAAUUCAAGCUUUGAAAUUCUGCAUGCAUUCUAUCAACAUUUUAGAAAAUUCAAAAUAGUAUAAAAAUCAGCAUGAAUCAAGUUAUUUCAAUUCUUCAUUAUGUUCCCAAAAUAAAAAUUUAUAAAAUUAGGAUGUUUUAGACUUUUAGUGAUUGAUCAGACUUCUUUAAUUUGGGGUUUUGCCGAAAUUCAAUGUAAGUCUCGAGUCUCUAUCAUGUAUAUAGGUUGUUUUAGUGACUGAAGAGAUUAGGGUGGUGUUCAAUUUUGAAUGCGAGUCUUAAAUCGGCAUGAAACAAGUUAAUUUCAAUGUCAAUAUUAUAUUCCUAAAGCCGACUUGUAUAGUUUAGGAUUUUGUUCAAAUUGUAGAGCAGGUCCUUAAGUUCCAGGUGUGAAAGCUAUAUUUUUGGUCAUUGGGGGGAAAUGAAUCUUUGAAGAUGUAGCAGGGCAGGGUAUGGUGAAAGGAGCUUUGGGAGCUGUAAUAAUCUAAUUUCUAUGAGUUGAUCUUGUAGCUGUUAUUUAUCCUACUGGAUUUUUAAGGCAUUUUAUGCCUCAUGUUAUCGGUCUCUAGUCUUAAUUUAGAUGCCAUUUCUGUCUUCUAUGAGUUUUUAUCUUCUAGUAUUAUUGGAUUUUCCCUUCAAGUUAUUCCUAGUAAGAAACAACUCUACUAUCCAAAUUGUUCCUUUGUUUUUCUCUUGUUGUAUAGUGAAGUUUCUGUCCAAUAAACUCAGUCUAUCUAGAGUUUGUUCCACCGGUAUAGUAUAGAGUCUAGCGAACAAGCUUUCUAAUUGAUUAUUUCGAGAUUCCCGAUUGUCCUGAAAUCCUGAAACUAUUUUAGGAUUCCCGAAAAUUGGGAUUCUCGAAAAUUUGGUUUGGGAUCGGUCUUGAA